This 275-nucleotide ribosomal RNA is filed under the name uncultured bacterium. Its description in RNAcentral is "partial 16S ribosomal RNA". It matches the Rfam family "Bacterial small subunit ribosomal RNA", at positions 399 to 691 of the family's 1533-position model. The record is from RNAcentral.
GCGUGAGUGAUGAAGGCCUUAGGGUUGUAAAGCUCUUUUAGCAGGGAAGAUAAUGACUGUACCUGCAGAAUAAGCUCCGGCUAACUUCGUGCCAGCAGCCGCGGUAAUACGAAGGGAGCUAGCGUUGUUCGGAAUCACUGGGCGUAAAGCGCACGUAGGCGGAUUUGUUAGUGAGGGGUGAAAUCCCGGGGCUCAACCUCGGAACUGCCUUUCAUACUGCAGAUCUCGAGUCCGAUAGAGGUGGGUGGAAUUCCUAGUGUAGAGGUGAAAUUCGU